AGCUUGCUUCUUCUGAUUUAGCGGCGGACGGGUGAGUAACACGUGGGCAACCUGCCCUGUAGAUUGGGAUAACUCCGGGAAACCGGGGCUAAUACCGAAUAAUCCAUUUCCUCACAUGGGGAGAUGUUAAAAGACGGUUUCGGCUGUCACUACAGGAUGGGCCCGCGGCGCAUUAGCUAGGUGGGGAGGUAACGGCUCACCAAGGCGACGAUGCGUAGCCGACCUGAGAGGGUGAUCGGCCACACUGGGACUGAAACACGGCCCAGACUCCUACGGGAGGCAGCAGUAGGGAAUCUUCCACAAUGGACGAAAGGCUGAUGGAGCAAUGCCGCGGGAGUGAAGAAGGUUUUCGGAUCGUAAAACUCUGUUGUGAGGGAAGAACAAGUA
This is a ribosomal RNA of 387 nucleotides. It matches the Rfam family "Bacterial small subunit ribosomal RNA", at positions 77 to 455 of the family's 1533-position model.